GCCCUCGUAGCUCAGAUGGAUAGAGCAACGGACUUCUAAUCCGUCGGUCGUUGGUUCGAAUCCAACCGAGGGCAC
RNAcentral lists this transfer RNA (75 nucleotides) under uncultured Actinomycetes bacterium. RNAcentral's name for it is "uncultured actinobacterium tRNA-Arg". It matches the Rfam family "tRNA". Rfam says of the family: Transfer RNA (tRNA) molecules are approximately 80 nucleotides in length. Their secondary structure includes four short double-helical elements and three loops (D, anti-codon, and T loops). Lineage: Bacteria; Bacillati; Actinomycetota; Actinomycetes. RNAcentral also lists the same sequence under 1 other name. The record is from RNAcentral.